AUUGAACGCUGGCGGCAGGCCUAACACAUGCAAGUCGAACGAGUGGCGGACGGGUGAGUAAUGUCUGGGAAACUGCCCGAUGGAGGGGGAUAACUACUGGAAACGGUAGCUAAUACCGCAUACCAUCGGAUGUGCCCAGAUGGGAUUAGCUAGUAGGUUGGGUAAAGGCUCACCCAGGCGACGAUCCCUAGCUGGUCUGAGAGGAUGAACAGCCACACUGGCACUUAGACACGGUCCAGACUCCUACGGGAGGCAGCAGUGGGGAAUAUUGAACAAUGGGGGCAAUCCUGAUGCAGCCAUCCCGCGUGUAUGAAGAAGGCCUUCGGGUUGUAAAGUACUUUCAGCGAGGAGGCGUUACUCGCAGAAGAAGCACCGGCUAACUCCGUGCCAGCAGCCGCAGUAAUUC
This 406-nucleotide ribosomal RNA is filed under the name uncultured bacterium. Its description in RNAcentral is "partial 16S ribosomal RNA". It matches the Rfam family "Bacterial small subunit ribosomal RNA", at positions 30 to 526 of the family's 1533-position model. The record is from RNAcentral.